AGCAUAUCAAUAAGCGGAGGAAAAGAAACCAACAGGGAUUGCCCUAGUAACGGCGAGUGAAGCGGCAACAGCUCAAAUUUGAAAUCUGGCCCCCGGGUCCGAGUUGUAAUUUGUAGAGGAUGCUUUUGGUGCGGUACCUUCCGAGUGCCCUGGAACGGGACGCCAUAGAGGGUGAGAGCCCCGUCUGGUUGGACGCCAAUCCUUUGUAAAGCUCCUUCAACGAGUCGAGUAGUUUGGGAAUGCUGCUCUAAAUGGGAGGUAUAUGUCUUCUAAAGCUAAAUAUUGGCCAGAGACCGAUAGCGCACAAGUAGAGUGAUCGAAAGAUGAAAAGCACUUUGAAAAGAGAGUUAAAAAGUACGUGAAAUUGUUGAAAGGGAAGCGCUCAUGACCAGACUUGGGCUUGGUUGAUCAUCCAGGGUUCUCCCUGGUGCACUCUUCCGGCCCAGGCCAGCAUCAGUUCGCUGUGGGGGAUAAAGGCUUCGGGAAUGUGGCUCCCUCGGGAGUGUUAUAGCCCGUCGUGUAAUACCCUGUGGCGGACUGAGGUUCGCGCAUUCGCAAGGAUGCUGGCGUAAUGGUCAUCAGCGACCCGUCUUGAAACACGGACCAAGGAGUCGUCUUCGUAUGCGAGUGUUCGGGUGUCAAACCCCUACGCGUAAUGAAAGUGAACGCAGGUGAGAGCUUCGGCGCAUCAUCGACCGAUCCUGAUGUUCUCGGAUGGAUUUGAGUAAGAGCAUACGGGGCCGGACCCGAAAGAAGGUGAACUAUGCCUGUAUAGGGUGAAGCCAGAGGAAACUCUGGUGGAGGCUCGCAGCGGUUCUGACGUGCAAAUCGAUCGUCAAAUAUGGGCAUGGGGGCGAAAGACUAAUCGAACCUUCUAGUAGCUGGUUCCCCA
Molecule: ribosomal RNA, 892 nt
Filed under: Neonectria ditissima
Lineage: Eukaryota; Fungi; Ascomycota; Sordariomycetes; Hypocreales; Nectriaceae
Description: LSU rRNA
Rfam family: Eukaryotic large subunit ribosomal RNA
Source: RNAcentral